UCUUUGUGUGCAGUAAAGAAAGGCUCUGUUCUCUUAACAAGGAUGGAAAGUAUAACUGCAUACAAAAACCAAGAUGGACAACCCAGAUCUGGAACUCCAGAACAAUCUGACACUCCAGUGUCUGCUAAUGACAUGUGUUCCCUUGCUGAAUGGCCAUCCCAUGCUCGCCGCAACCGUGCGCUACUAGAGGAUGAAGCUGGUGGACAGAAGAAGAAAGGGCGAGGUGUUCUAAAAGGUUUUAAAGCAUCUAAGAAGCGUUUUGCCAAUGGAUCUGCAAAGCUAAAUAUUACAUUUUCUGAAAAAGGUGGUACAGUAGGAAUGAACUAUCGUUCGUUCAAGGAUGACGUGGUAGUCAUAAUGAAAAGAAAGUUACCACUCAUUGGAGUGAGGACGUGGUCGGACAUUCACCCUACCAUUCAUCGACUCAUUGUUGCAGAUAUGAUAGACAGAUGGGACUUGGAAGAUACACCAGAAACAGAAGAAAAAGUUCUCAAAAUUGCGAAAGAGCGAUAUAGAGGCUGGCGAUCAACUCUAAGCUCCACUUAUAAGGCAUACAAAACAGAUGCAGCUAGAUUUGCUAAUUUGCCGAAAGAUUUGCAACCAGAAGAGUGGGAAUGGAUGAUUGAGUACUUUGGCACUGAUUCAAAAUUUCAGGAUCGCAGCCAAAAGAACGCCGAUAACCGUAAGAAACAGAAGACAAAACACAUAAUCAGAUCAAAAUCUUACUCGCAAGUUAGUUUUGAGAAGAGAAACUUGGAAACUGGAGAAGAGCCAGAUUGUAUUGCUCUGUGGGAACUCACCCACACGAAUGAUGGAACAUGGUCUAACACAGAUUCCCAGAAAGUUUACGACAAAGCACUUCAAGAGGUUAAAAUCAAAGAAACUGAAACUGAAGGUCCACUUUCAAGUGAGGAGAAAAACAAUAUUUUCCAGACCUCUUACAAAGAGACUCUGGAAUGCAAGUCAUCGCAUCCUCAUGGGUACGGAUACAUGGCCAAAACUUCAACUGCUUCUGAAAGGUUUCGUAUCCAGAUCGAAGAGCAAGCUCGUGCUACAGCAGCCACCCAGGAGUGA
This 1074-nucleotide ribosomal RNA is filed under the name Triticum aestivum (bread wheat). RNAcentral describes it as "partial small subunit ribosomal RNA". The record is from RNAcentral. Lineage: Eukaryota; Viridiplantae; Streptophyta; Magnoliopsida; Poales; Poaceae.